Long non-coding RNA from Oncorhynchus keta (chum salmon), 693 nucleotides. RefSeq lists it as uncharacterized. Lineage: Eukaryota; Metazoa; Chordata; Actinopteri; Salmoniformes; Salmonidae. The record is from RefSeq and is a predicted model, not a curated record. The transcript has 5 exons.
UUCAGUCAUUACAUCAUUCCUUUACCACAGGUAUCAGUCAUUACAUCAUUCCUUUACCACAGGUAUCAGUCAUUACAUCAUUCCUUUACCACAGGUAUCAGUCAUUACAUCAUUCCUUUACCACAGGUAUCAGACAUUACAUCAUUCCUUUACCACAGGUAUCAGUCAUUACAUCAUUCCUUUACCACAGGUAUCAGUCAUUACAUCAUUCCUUUACCACAGGUAUCAGUCAUUACAUCAUUCCUUUACCACAGGUAUCAGUCAUUACAUCAUUCCUUUACCACAGGUAUCAGUCAUUACAUCAUUCCUUUACCACAGGUAUCAGUCAUUACAUCAUUCCUUUACCACAGGUAUCAGUCAUUACAUCAUUCCUUUACCACAGGUAUCAGUCAUUACAUCAUUCCUUUACCACAGGUAUCAGUCAUUACAUCAUUCCUUUACCACAGGUAUCAGUCAUUACAUCAUUCCUUUACCACAGGUAUCAGUCAUUACAUCAUUCCUUUACCACAGGUAUCAGUCAUUACAUCAUUCCUUUACCACAGGUAUCAGUCAUUACAUCAUUCCUUUACCACAGGUAUCAGUCAUUACAUCAUUCCUUUACCACAGGUAUCAGUCAUUACAUCAUUCCUUUACCACAGGUAUCAGUCAUUACAUCAUUCCUUUACCACAGGUAUCAGUCAUUACAUCAUUCCU